This 240-nucleotide unclassified non-coding RNA is filed under the name soil metagenome. RNAcentral describes it as "partial contains 5.8S ribosomal RNA, internal transcribed spacer 2, and large subunit ribosomal RNA". The record is from RNAcentral.
AAGACUAUAGACCUGCGGAGUACCUGCGGAAGGAUCAUUACCGAGUUUUCAACUCCCUAACCCUUCUGCGAACCUACCUAUCGUUGCUUCGGCGGACUCGCCCCAGCCCGGACGCGGACUGGACCAGCGGCCCGCCGGGGACCUCAAACUCUUGUAUUCCAGCAUCUUCUGAAUACGCCGCAAGGCAAAACAAAUGAAUCAAAACUUUUAACAAUGGAUCUCUAGAUCGGAAGAGCACAC